This 979-nucleotide ribosomal RNA is filed under the name uncultured bacterium. RNAcentral describes it as "bacterial SSU rRNA". It matches the Rfam family "Bacterial small subunit ribosomal RNA", at positions 44 to 1067 of the family's 1533-position model. The record is from RNAcentral.
GCGCCUACACAUGCAAGUCGAACGAAGUAGCAAUACUUAGUGGCAGACGGGUGAGUAACAUGUGGGUAUCUACCCUUUGGCCUGGAAUAACACGAGGAAACUUGUGCUAAUACCGGAUAAGUCUUUACGGAGAAAGCUUUAUGCACCAUUGGAUGAGCCCGCACUUGAUUAGUUUGUUGGUAGGGUAAUGGCCUACCAAGACUAUGAUCAAUAGCUGAUUUGAGAGGAUGAUCAGCCACAUUGGGACUGAGACACGGCCCAAACUCCUACGGGAGGCAGCAGUGGGGAAUCUUGCACAAUGGAGGAAACUCUGAUGCAGCGAUGCCGCGUGAGUGAAGAAGGCCUUUGGGUUGUAAAGCUCUUUCGUCGGGGAAGAAAAUGACUGUACCCGAAUAAGAAGGUCCGGCUAACUUCGUGCCAGCAGCCGCGGUAAUACGAAGGGACCUAGCGUAGUUCGGAAUUACUGGGCUUAAAGAGUUCGUAGGUGGUUGAAAAAGUUGGUGGUGAAAUCCCAGAGCUUAACUCUGGAACUGCCAUCAAAACUUUUCAGCUAGAGUAUGAUAGAGGAAAGCAGAAUUUCUAGUGUAGAGGUGAAAUUCGUAGAUAUUAGAAAGAAUACCAAUUGCGAAGGCAGCUUUCUGGAUCAUUACUGACACUGAGGAACGAAAGCAUGGGUAGCGAAGAGGAUUAGAUACCCUCGUAGUCCAUGCCGUAAACGAUGUGUGUUAGACGUUGGAAAUUUAUUUUCAGUGUCGCAGGGAAACCGAUAAACACACCGCCUGGGGAGUACGACCGCAAGGUUAAAACUCAAAUGAAUUGACGGGGACCCGCACAAGUAGUGGAGCAUGUGGUUUAAUUCGAAGAUACGCGCAGAACCUUACCAACACUUGACAUGUUCGUCGCGACUCUAAGAGAUUAGAGUUUUCGGUUCGGCCGGACGAAACACAGGGUGCUGCAUGGCUGUCGUCAGCUCGUGUCG